RNAcentral lists this ribosomal RNA (460 nucleotides) under uncultured bacterium. Its description in RNAcentral is "partial 16S ribosomal RNA". It matches the Rfam family "Bacterial small subunit ribosomal RNA", at positions 338 to 795 of the family's 1533-position model. The record is from RNAcentral.
CCUACGGGAGGCAGCAGUGAGGAAUAUUGGUCAAUGGACGAGAGUCUGAACCAGCCAAGUAGCGUGAAGGAUGACUGCCCUAUGGGUUGUAAACUUCUUUUAUAUGGGAAUAAAAUGUUCCACGUGUGGGAUUUUGUAUGUACCAUAUGAAUAAGGAUCGGCUAACUCCGUGCCAGCAGCCGCGGUAAUACGGAGGAUCCGAGCGUUAUCCGGAUUUAUUGGGUUUAAAGGGAGCGUAGGUGGAUGGUUAAGUCAGUUGUGAAAGUUUGCGGCUCAACCGUAAAAUUGCAGUUGAAACUGGCAGUCUUGAGUACAGUAGAGGUGGGCGGAAUUCGUGGUGGAGCGGUGAAAUGCUUAGAUAUCACGAAGAACUCCGAUUGCGAAGGCAGUUCACUGGACUGCAACUGACACUGAGGCUCGAAAGUGUGGGUAUCAAACAGGAUUAGAUACCCGAGUAGUC